GUUCCCCUGGUGGCCUCUACACAUCUCUGAAUGGUACACAGAUUAGCACAGCUCCUGCAGAAGGAUGACACACAAAUUUGUGAAGUGUCCCAUAUUUCC
Molecule: small nuclear RNA, 99 nt
Organism: Fukomys damarensis (Damara mole-rat)
Lineage: Eukaryota; Metazoa; Chordata; Mammalia; Rodentia; Bathyergidae
Source: Ensembl